RNAcentral lists this ribosomal RNA (158 nucleotides) under uncultured Cortinarius. Its description in RNAcentral is "5.8S ribosomal RNA". It matches the Rfam family "5.8S ribosomal RNA". Rfam says of the family: 5.8S ribosomal RNA (5.8S rRNA) is a component of the large subunit of the eukaryotic ribosome. It is transcribed by RNA polymerase I as part of the 45S precursor that also contains 18S and 28S rRNA. Functionally, it is thought that 5.8S rRNA may be involved in ribosome translocation. Lineage: Eukaryota; Fungi; Basidiomycota; Agaricomycetes; Agaricales; Cortinariaceae. The record is from RNAcentral.
CAACUUUCAGCAACGGAUCUCUUGGCUCUCGCAUCGAUGAAGGACGCAGCGAAAUGCGAUAAGUAAUGUGAAUUGCAGAAUUCAGUGAAUCAUCGAAUCUUUGAACGCACCUUGCGCUCCUUGGUAUUCCGAGGAGCAUGCCUGUUUGAGUGUCAUUA